GGAUAUUGAGUUAGGAUUUAGAUCAACGCUGCCCCCCUGCUUAGGCCCGCAAAUGUGGCACUUUGCUUAUUGCUGACUCCGGAAAGUGGCGGAGGGGUGAGUAACACACCCAAACAUACCCCAAGGGGAGGGAGCUGACCUACAAACGGUGUCUAAUUCCGACUUCUGUCUACGGACUUUCAAUUUGUCAUCAUGGGAGUGGCCGGCUUUGGAGUAAUUUGCUGGUACUGUAAAUGUCUACGUUGCCCAUUAUCCCGAGCUGUGUAGAGAGGAUGAUCCCCCACACUGAAAGUGAAAAACGACCAAAACUCCUCCCCUACGCCCCCCCCGGUAAUUUUGCACUCUGGGAAAAAGCCUGAUGGAACACUGCCGGGUGGGGCAUGAUGGUUUACUGACUGCAACCUCUUUUUAUAUGAGAUGACUACGACCGUGCCAUAUGAAUAACGAGCCGCCAGAUACCUGCCUCUAGCUUCGUAGAUACUCCGAAUCCGUCCGUUAUCGGUAUUGAUCGGCCCUUAAGAGUUAAGUAAAGCGGCUAAGUCCACCGUUUGUGAGGGAGCGCGUCCUUUCCUUUAUGUUUUAACUUGCCCUGCUUUGGCACAAGGGGGGGAUACAGGUAGCUGGAUUUUUUAGUGGAGGAGUAAUCUACCCCCUUAUAUUUGCAAAGAAACCCUCGGGUAGAGGCUAGACUACGGGUUGUUUUUCAGACGCGUUUGCUACCAACGCGUUUCGUAGCCAGACCGGAUUAAAACCCCCCGGGUAGUCCUAGCCCUGCAAAAGUGGGGGAUUCCUAACCAUAUAGCAGGGGGCCAUCCCCCCCCCCGCCAAUAGAAAACUCACGCGUACUCUCCUUCCCCGUCCGCGGAGAAAAAACUAGUUUCUAAUUUUUAGAUCAUAAGAGGUAAUGGCUCGGGGUAUUCUCUCACCUAUUGUGGUUGUAACUGUGUGCUCGCCCUUUAACUCUACACAGGCUUGAGCGACAACAAAUAACCA
This 993-nucleotide ribosomal RNA is filed under the name uncultured bacterium. RNAcentral describes it as "partial 16S ribosomal RNA". The record is from RNAcentral.